This is an RNA transcript of Labeo rohita (rohu), 3528 nucleotides long. It is a transcript of the gene named asparaginase homolog (S. cerevisiae), with no coding region annotated. The transcript has 20 exons. Lineage: Eukaryota; Metazoa; Chordata; Actinopteri; Cypriniformes; Cyprinidae. The record is from RefSeq and is a predicted model, not a curated record.
UUACGUGAGUCAGAUAUGGCGGAAUGGAAGCACACUAUGUCGGCUCCGUCCUCAAGCAGCAUGACCUCGCUGAGUCGAGCGCUUUCUCUGACCAGGUUAAAUCAGCCAGAUUCGUUUCAGUCGCAGAAAUCUCUGAGCCGGAGCGCGGCUGGUCAGUUUCGCAGGAGGUUCUCGAGCACUUCGGAGUCUCCUGACAUCAGUCCAAAUGUCGAGGCGAGGGUUCUUGUCAUAAACACCGGCGGAACCAUUGGAAUGAUGUAUCAUAAUAACGUUCUGUCUCCAGAACCAAAUGCUCUUGUUGAAACUCUACGCAAACUCCCCAUUCUUCAUGAUGAGCUGUAUGCACAACAGACCAGACUGUAUGAAUACUACAAGCCCCCGGAGAACACGCUGGUGCUGCCGAAGCCCACUUGCUCAGAUGAUCCUCUAUUGCAUAGACUGUCCAAACAGAAUAAGAGGAUUGUAUAUACACUUUUAGAGUAUUCACCCCUCCUUGACUCCUGCAAUAUGACGACUGAUGAUUGGGCCACGGUUGGAAAAGACAUUGAGAAACACUACGAGCAAUAUGAUGGUUUUGUCAUUUUGCACGGCACAGACACAAUGGCUUACACCGCCUCUGCCUUAUCCUUCAUGUGUGAGAACCUGGGAAAGCCUGUCAUCCUCACCGGUUCACAGGUGCCCAUUUAUGAAAUGAGGAAUGAUGGGAGGGACAACCUCUUGGGGGCGUUGUUGAUUGCAGGACAGUUUGUCAUCCCUGAGGUUUGCCUCUAUUUUCAUCAUAAGCUGUACAGAGGCAAUCGUGUCACCAAAGUGGACGCUGGAAGUUUUAACGCAUUUACCUCCCCAAACCUGCCGCCAUUAGCCAAUGCUGAAGUCGACAUCAAAAUAAGCCUAAUUCCAUGGAUUGAAACUGCUUCGAAGAUCUCAAACAUGGGGAGAAACAAAUUUAACUGGGAUACUGUGUGGCGAGCCAAUACAACCGCCAAAUUCACUGUCAACACACAAAUGAACCGUAAUGUGGGUCUCCUGCGACUCUUCCCAGGAAUCACUGCUGAUACUGUCAGGGCCUUCUUGCAGCCUCCUAUGGACGGGAUCGUAUUGGAAACGUACGGCAGUGGUAACGCCCCAGACAACCGUGCUGACCUGCUGGAUGAGUUCCGUAAAGCGACCAAGAGAGGACUCAUCAUGAUCAACUGCACUCAGUGUCUCAGGGGCUCGGUCACAACCUCAUACGCCACUGGCCAGGCUCUGAGUGAUGCUGGUUUGGUCGCUGGGUGUGAUAUGACCCCAGAAGCUGCUCUUUCAAAACUCUCCUAUGUGCUGGCAAAACAAGACCUCAGUACAGAAGAGAAGAAAAAGAUGCUGAGUCGUAAUCUGCGUGGUGAGAUGGUGGCUGAUCUGGGCGGAGCAAAGCUUUCUCUCAGUGACAGUCGCUUUAUUCAGGUCAUCGCCAAGUCCCUCAGCAUUAGCUGUAAAGAGGAGCUUGAAGCCAUACGAGAUGCACUAACGCCUACUUUGGUCUGCGUUGCUGCUAAGAUUGGAGACAUUGAGGCUUUAGAGGCCAUAAGGGAAAUGGGCACUGACUUGAGCUGUGCAGAUUAUGAUGGCCGCACUCCCCUUCACAUCAGUGCAUGUGAGGGGCAUCUGAACGUGGUGGAAUAUCUGCUGGGUAAAGGGGCCACCGUCUAUGCCAAAGAUCGCUUUGGUGAUACACCUCUUCGUAAUGCUGUUCGCUUCAGGCACAAGGAUGUUGUGAAACUGCUGAGGAAGACUGGAGCUCAUUUUUCCCGGGAAGAAAUGGAGGAUGCCGGAACAGAGCUGUGCAGUCUUGCGGCGAGUGGGGACUUAGAAGCAUUGGAGAUUUGGCAGUUAGCUGGGGUUGAUAUGACCAUGUGCAGUUAUGAUGGACAGACGCCUAUUGAAGUGGCAAGAGCCACUGGAUGUAAGGAGGUUGUUGAGUUCUUAAAGCAGGCUGCUCUGUACCAAACUCAGCAUCAGACAGAUGAGGGUAAUAAGGAUAGAGUAUACUGUUUAAAAAUGUGCAUGCUUCAGAGUGAUGUGGAAGUGCAUGUCUCAGUGGAAGGGUUGUGAGUUGAUCUCCCAUUGGAAAAACAACAGGUUCUGGCAUACAGUAGUUAAUAGUUUGAAAGGCAUCUUGAUGUUACUUUUAUUUACACAAUGAGGAAAUGGUCCUGUCUUGUGAUUGAAACAUUCACCACUGUGAUAAAGAGAUGCAAAGGAAUGUGCUCAUAACAACAUCAGUCUUUGUGGCAUGAUUGGUGUGUAAGUGAAGUUGCAACAAAAAUGAACAGCUUCUAGUUAACAAAAAAUCCUUCGUCUUUUUCUUGCAGCCAGUAUUUGAGGAGGAUGAGGAGGAGAAUGGCGAGUAUAUCGAGUUUACUGCUUGUCCAAGAUCCUGAGGAGGCCGUCCUGCUAGCUGUCACUUCUUGCCAUAAUCAUCCGUCCGGUUUCUUAGUAUUUUAGUAGACCUGCUGCAGAUUUUUCCUAUUUGGACAAACGUCCUCUUAAAACAUAAAAAGCACAAAGCCAUACCUUUUAAGCCCGUCCUUCUGAAACCGUAAGCAAUCCGGUUUGAAUGUAAAGUGUGAAGAUGAACAAUCAUAAAACAAUCAUACCUAUUAUUUAUGUACAAGCACAUUAUUUAGACCAGUGGCUCUUAACUCCACUCCUCGGGGCCCACUGCUCUGCACAUUUUGUAUGUUUCUGAAUCUGACACACUCAAUUCAGUUCAUGGAUCUUUCUCCUAACGAGCUGAUGAUCUGAAUCAGGUGCGUUAAAUGAGGGAGACAUACAAAAUGUGCAGAGCAGUGGGCCCUGAGGACUGGAGUUGAGAACCACUGAUUUAGACUAUAUUACAGUACAGGGUACUGUAACCGCUGAUGUCAAACAAAAUGUGACCUCAUUUGAAUAUGAUCUAUUUAUUGUUUUGAUUUAGAGUGAAUUUAGAUAUUUAAAGCUGUCAGGACUGUUACGUGUUUAUCCAUUGUUAUUCAUGUGUUCACUGUAUCACCUGUUACAUUAUUGUGAAUGUAUACAGUUCAUACAUAUUUUAAUAGCAUAUACACUUUACUGUAAUGUAAUCACAGUGAUGAGUAAGGAUGGUUUUACCUACUCUAUAUGCAGAGAAGAAAAUCAAAAAAAGUUUGAUGGCUCAAAAGUUAUACACGUUUUAGUUGUAUUUUCAGUUAAAACUGAAAUAAUCAGUUUCCCUCUAUAGUGAUUAUCAAAAACAUUGUGUUUGUUAUGCAAAAUAGUUGGAACAUCCUGUUCUUUAGUUUUGUUCAUCUGUAAAUCAGUGUGUGUAUUCAUACCAAUCACACAUUUUAGUUGACCUCAGAAAAGGUUUCAGUCAUAUUGUUUUAUUGUUCAAUUUGCAAUUGUUGUAGCAAUAAAAAUGCAAAAGCAUAUGUUUAUGCUGUUGAAACCACCAAAUUAACACUUACCUGUACUGUCUUUUUGUAAUGUCAGUGCGACAUUAAAAGGCAAUAAAUGUGUUUUGAAAUUGAA